This 30-nucleotide non-coding RNA is filed under the name Mus musculus (house mouse). Lineage: Eukaryota; Metazoa; Chordata; Mammalia; Rodentia; Muridae. The record is from RNAcentral.
UCUGUAUGGUGUUUCUUCACAGCAAUGGUA